This 125-nucleotide ribosomal RNA is filed under the name Piskurozyma taiwanensis. Its description in RNAcentral is "partial small subunit ribosomal RNA". It matches the Rfam family "Eukaryotic small subunit ribosomal RNA", at positions 1657 to 1779 of the family's 1831-position model. Lineage: Eukaryota; Fungi; Basidiomycota; Tremellomycetes; Filobasidiales; Piskurozymaceae. The record is from RNAcentral.
CCUUUGUACACACCGCCCGUCGCUACUACCGAUUGAAUGGCUUAGUGAGAUCUCCGGAUUGGCUUUGAAGGACUGGCAACGGUCUCUCGUCGCUGAGAAGCUGAUCAAACUUGGUCAUUUAGAGG